Molecule: ribosomal RNA, 468 nt
Filed under: uncultured bacterium
Lineage: Bacteria
Description: partial 16S ribosomal RNA
Rfam family: Bacterial small subunit ribosomal RNA
Source: RNAcentral
GACGAACGCUGGCGGCGUGCUUAACACAUGCAAGUCGAACGGCAAGGCACUGCUUUUGUGCGCUUCUCGAGUGCCGAACGGGUGAGUAACACGUGAGUAACCUGCCCUUGUCUUUGGGAUAAGUUCAGGAAACUGGGGCUAAUACCGGACAGGAGCCCCCGCUCCAUGGUGGGCGUUGGAACGUCUCGGCGGGUGGGGAUGGACUCGCGGAUUACCAGCUUGUUGGUGGGGUAGAGGCUUACCAAGGCUUUGACGGGUCGCCGGCCUGGGAAGGGGGACGGGCUCCUUGCGACUAAGGGAGGGCCCAGACUGGAACGGGAGGCAACGGGGGGGAGUAUUGCACAAUGAGCGGGAGCGUGAGACGACGGCGCCGCGGGCGGAAUGACGGCCUUUGGGUUGUGAACCGCUUUCGCCUAUGACGCAGCGGGUCUGACGGUAAUGAAUAAAGAAGCACCGGCUAACUACGUG